CACAAAGCAUAAUUUCAAUUACAUUUUCAUUUUCAGCUUGGGAAGAGUUACUUCUGCUUGAAUCUCACCAAAACCUUUUCCCUAUACUAUACUUGGAGUUGUUGGAAUACUAUGGUAUUGCAUAUUCCUUAUAUUUUCAAACAAGGAAGGAAUAUAGUAAGAAAUUUUUUCAUUAGUGUUCUAGCUGAUUUGGCCAUUAUUUUAAAUAGGUGGUUGCUAUAUGAUUAUUCUUUUUUUCUAUUUGUCUGAUUGCUUUCUAGAAAGAAGUAAAAGUUAAAGCUAUUAAUAAUUUAUAACUAUUUAAAGUAGGGGCACUUAUUCGACAAUUAUUUUCCUUACUAGGAAAGGAAUGAUUGUAUUGUAUGAACUUUUGUAGUCUUCAUACUUUAGGUUGAUUCGUGAAUAUGCCAUUAAUUAUCAUUUAAAAGAUUAAUAUAAGGUUUAAGUGCUUUAUCAUUAUCAAUAUAAUUUCACUGCUAUGUGACUUAACCUCUAUAACGUAAAAUUAUCACUGGCUGGAUGUGCUAAGUUUGCGGUGAGGCUCCCGUUUACUAUGGGAAAAUGUGUAUAUAAUUGAAAGCACAAUCAUGAAGAGGAGAAAAGCAAUAGACAUGUCAGCUAAUUACAUGUUCUUAAAGAUGUGGGGGUGAUGAGGUGAGGUAAUCGAAAAAUGGCUUUCACUCCCAACCUCACAAAAUUUGCAUCGUAAGUGAAUUUUCCACUUUACUAAAGUGGUUCUAUUGACUAAGUCCACAAAUUAUGGCCUAUUCUUUAUUUGGACAAUAUCUUUUGUUUUCCUUUCUCACACUAUAAAUUUGUCUUGGACAGCUCAUCACAGAAGAAUUCCCCGUAGACCAACUUCUACCUUUCUUCACCCAAAAGCAAUCAAGACUUAGAUUAUGCCCCAUUUUGUGGUGUAUUUUCUAUGUUUGCCUUUAAAAAAAAGAAAGAAAAGGUUCUCCAAAACAUAGCUCAAGUGACAAAUAAAUCUCCCACUCGUGUAUUUAAAUAAUACUACUACUAAUAAUAAAACAAAUCUUCAAAAAUAAUGUAUUUAGAAUUUCAAUGGAAAUGAAAGUUUUACUUGAAAGUAGUGUUUCAAGCAUGAAUUUCACUUGGAUAAGAAUUUAACUUUUAAAAUUAGUUCUACCAGUAACAUGAAUUUCCAUGUUGUAUAUCCCAUCUUUUUCAACGUUCUAAAAAACUAAGUUGAAGUCUUGAAAACUAAGAAAAUUGUUUUUAAUUUUUAUUUUUUAGAAUUUAGUUAGGAAUUCAUGUGAAAAAUCAUAUUCGAUAAGUGAGAAGCAAGAUGCAACUUCAUAGGCAAACAGACAUGAAGUUCAAAAUACAAAAAAUUAAAGAUGAAAUAAUUAUCUGGUCUAAGUUCUAAAAUUUUGUAGGCAAAUACGAGUUUGUCUCUAUAUUUAGGGAUGUGGAGGUAGGAAAAUUUGUCCAAAAAAAAAUUGACAACAAUAUUUACACUUCAUUUAAAUAGUUUUUUUUUUUUUUUUCAAAAACCCCAAGAAAGUGGAUGGUGUUACAAAAAAGAGUUUAUUUCCAAUUUCGUAAUUUAUGUUGCAAAAUUUUGGAAAUAUUCCUAAAUUAGUACCAAAGUGUCCAAUUCUAUGUAAGGAAAAAUACACAGGCCAAAUGUAAGGAUAGGAACUUCAUUUAGGAGGGGGGGGGGGGGGGGGAGAAAAGACACAAUCUGGCCCACGCGGAAACAAAACAUCAUUGACUUUAUUUGUUUUAUUCACUAUCAUUAUUUAGAAAUUGUAAGCAAUUUUCAAAGAUAAUUCCAAAACAGUUCUUUCAUCCAACACCCAACAUACCCAUCCACAAAACCCUCUCUUUUGAUAAAUAUUCAUUCGUUAAAAUAGAAGUUUACCUUUCUUUUUUGUUCAGUAAGAGAUUAUUAACACACACUUGGGAGAAUUUUAACCUUUAAUUUUCUUUAUAAAUGUCUUUCAAAAGAAGAUUAGGUAAAGAAAAAAACGAGCGUCACAGUAAAACGCACAUUUCUAAUUCAAAACCACCAAAAUAAACAGCAGCAAGCAACUGCCCAAAGAAAACGACACAAUACUAAUAAUAAAAGGUUUAUUUAAAAAAAGAGAAAGAAAACAUUCCACUGAUACCACCAUAGGUUUAGACAAAAGCAUAUAUCUUCAUAUAUUGAUCUCCUCCUUUUUUUGAGGACCAAUUAUGGGUAUUAUGCGUAUGGUAGCACAUGACAAAUCACAAAAGAAACAUACCCAAUUUCCAUUUCCUAGCAAAGGCCACGAGUUCCUUAUUUUUCCUCUUAAAAAUUCAUUUUCCAUUUCAUUUCUUCUUACAGUCAUUGACAAACUGGUUUGAUUCUGCUAAUAAGUGAAUUCUCUUAUUCAUUUAAUACCCAUUUGAACAUCUUAAGAGAAUAAUGAAACAAAAUACUUCAAGCACAAAAACCGUUCAAAUUUUAAAAUUACUGGGUGAGAGCGCCACAAUGUGACUGACUUUGAGAGAAUAGUAUCUCGAAUUCAGAAUCAAUU
RNAcentral lists this long non-coding RNA (2528 nucleotides) under Cucumis sativus (cucumber). RNAcentral's name for it is "long non-coding RNA (CSAT_LNC000320)". The record is from RNAcentral. Lineage: Eukaryota; Viridiplantae; Streptophyta; Magnoliopsida; Cucurbitales; Cucurbitaceae.